Long non-coding RNA from Suricata suricatta (meerkat), 588 nucleotides. RefSeq lists it as uncharacterized. The transcript is spliced from 2 exons. The record is from RefSeq and is a predicted model, not a curated record. NCBI's taxonomy places the organism in Eukaryota, Metazoa, Chordata, Mammalia, Carnivora, Herpestidae.
GCUGUCUCUCCAGGAGGAGGCAGCCUCUGCGCCGGGCCCCAGCGGCCUCUCCAAGCUGCCUUCCUUCAUCUCCCUGCAGUCCUCGCCGAGCCCAGGAGGCCAGCCCAGGUCCCAGACCCCCAGGAACCCCCCAACUAAGGGCUCAGGGAAAACUCUGCACAUCAAACCUCGGCUGUGAGGCCCCGGGGGCCCUGCCCACCUCAGCCCCUCGCUCUUGGAAAGGAAGGAGCCUCCGCCUGCCUCAGCCCCAGAGGAGGGGCCACCUGCCAUCGAGCCCCACCCUGGGGCCCCGGGCUCACUGCUCUGCCCGCCUGGCUCUCAGACUUCCGUGACCAGGGCGUGCUCAGGGGCGCACCUCCUGCUCCCGGGCUGCCCUGCCCGCCCCCCCUGCACACUCACCUUCCCAUCCCUGGGUCCUCAGCUUCACACCCAGGAUGUGCCCCGAUCCCCAGCACAGGGGGGUGCCAGGCAAGGCUCCCCACAGGGCCUGUGCCCGCUGUGGGGGUGGCAGCCACACAGCACACCCCUAGGCCUCCUCCCGGGACCCCCCGGGGGGUGUGUUCAGCAAUAAAGGCUCUGUCCUGUGUC